UAAUUCUAGAGCUAAUAUUUAACAGAAUGCCGUGACUCGCGAGAGAAGCGGCGGAUUUAUUAGUUUCAAAACCAACCUGUUGGGGCAACUCGACGGUUCUUUGAUGACUCUGGAUAACUUUACUGAUCGUACGACUUUAAUGUUGACGACGAAUCUCUUGAAAUGGCUGACCUAUCAACUUUCGAUGGUAAGAUCAAAGCUUACCAUGGUUGUAACGGGUAACGGGGAAUCAGUGUUCGAUUCCGGAGAGGGAGCCUGAGAAACGGCUACCACAUCCACGGAAGGCAGCAGGCGCGCAAAUUACCCAAUACCGGUUCGGUGAGGUAGUGACGAAAAAUAACAAUAUGGGCCAUUAUUGGUAUCAUAAUUGGAAUGAGAACAUUUUAAAUACUUUAUCAAGUAUCAAUUGGAGUAUAUGCUCGAUGCUCUUUAAUGGGUGUUGGGGAUAACCGGCAAGUUUACUUUGAAAAAAUUAGAGUGCUUAAAGCAGGCUUAUGCUUGUAUAUUGUUGCAUGGAAUAAUGAAAUAGGACUUCGGUUUUAUUUUGUUGGUUUUCUAAACUGAAGUAAUGAUUAAAAGAGACUGCCGGGGGCAUAUGUAUGCUGGUGGGAGAGGUGAAAUUCUAAGAUCGCCAGCAGACAAACUACUGCGAAAGCAUUUGCCAAGAAUGUUUUCAUUAAUCAAGAACGAAAGUCAGAGGAUCGAAGACGAUCAGAUACCGUCCUAGUUCUGACCAUAAACUAUGCCAACUGACAGUUAGCUAAGGUAGUAUUAACGUCCUUGCUAGAAGUCACCGGGAAACCUAAGUCUAUGGGUUCCGGGGGAAGUAUGGUUGCAAAGCUGAAACUUAAAGGAAUUGACGGAAGGGCACCACCAGGAGUGGAGCCUGCGGCUUAAUUUGACUCAACACGGGAAAUCUCACCCGGUCCGGACACUGUGAGGAUUGACAGAUUGAUAGCUCUUUCUUGAUUCGGUGGGUGGUGGUGCAUGGCCGUUCUUAGUUGGUGGAGCGAUUUGUCUGGUUAAUUCCGAUAACGAACGAGACUCUGACCUGCUAACUAGUACACUCGUGUUCAAUUGCGAGUGCUGACUUCUUAGAGGAAUAAGUAGCUUUUAGCUAAAUGAAAUAGAGCAAUAACAGGUCUGUGAUGCCCUUAGAUGUCCGGGGCCGCACGCGCGCUACAAUGGCAGUACCAGCGAGUUUUUUCCUAGCUAGAAAUGGCCGGGUAAUCUGCUGAAACACUGUCGUGUCAGGAAUAGUGGUUUGAAAUUUUCCCACUUGAACGAGGAAUUCCUAGUAAGCGCAAGUCAUUAGCUUGCGCUGAUUACGUCCCUGCCCUUUGUACACACCGCCCGUCGCUACU
RNAcentral lists this ribosomal RNA (1364 nucleotides) under Pasipha pinima. RNAcentral's name for it is "SSU rRNA". It matches the Rfam family "Eukaryotic small subunit ribosomal RNA", at positions 153 to 1683 of the family's 1831-position model. RNAcentral also lists the same sequence under 1 other name. The record is from RNAcentral. Lineage: Eukaryota; Metazoa; Platyhelminthes; Tricladida; Geoplanidae.